AUUGAACGCUGGCGGCAGGCCUAACACAUGCAAGUCGAACGGUAACAGGAAACAGCUUGCUGUUUCGCUGACGAGUGGCGGACGGGUGAGUAAUGUCUGGGAAACUGCCUGAUGGAGGGGGAUAACUACUGGAAACGGUAGCUAAUACCGCAUAACGUCGCAAGACCAAAGAGGGGGACCUUCGGGCCUCUUGCCAUCGGAUGUGCCCAGAUGGGAUUAGCUAGUAGGUGGGGUAACGGCUCACCUAGGCGACGAUCCCUAGCUGGUCUGAGAGGAUGACCAGCCACACUGGAACUGAGACACGGUCCAGACUCCUACGGGAGGCAGCAGUGGGGAAUAUUGCACAAAGGGCGCAAGCCUGAUGCAGCCAUGCCGCGUGUAUGAAGAAGGCCUUCGGGUUGUAAAGUACUUUCAGCGGGGAGGAAGGGAGUAAAGUUAAUACCUUUACUCAUUGACGUUACCCGCAGAAGAAGCACCGGCUAACUCCGUG
This 490-nucleotide ribosomal RNA is filed under the name uncultured bacterium. Its description in RNAcentral is "partial 16S ribosomal RNA". It matches the Rfam family "Bacterial small subunit ribosomal RNA", at positions 30 to 507 of the family's 1533-position model. The record is from RNAcentral.